RNAcentral lists this ribosomal RNA (458 nucleotides) under uncultured bacterium. Its description in RNAcentral is "partial 16S ribosomal RNA". It matches the Rfam family "Bacterial small subunit ribosomal RNA", at positions 338 to 795 of the family's 1533-position model. The record is from RNAcentral.
CCUACGGGAGGCAGCAGUGAGGAAUAUUGGUCAAUGGGCGAGAGCCUGAACCAGCCAAGUCGCGUGAGGGAGUACUGCCCUAUGGGUUGUAAACCUCUUUUGUCGGGGAGCAAAAGCCGGACGUGUCCGGCUGUGAGAGUACCCGAAGAAAAAGCAUCGGCUAACUCCGUGUCAGCAGCCGCGGUAAUACGGAGGAUGCGAGCGUUAUCCGGAUUUAUUGGGUUUAAAGGGUGCGCAGGCGGGUUUUUAAGUCAGCGGUAAAAUCGUGGGGCUCAACCCCAUCCAGCCGUUGAAACUGGGGAUCUAGAGUGUGCGAGAGGUAUGCGGAAUGCGUGGUGUAGCGGUGAAAUGCAUAGAUAUCACGCAGAACCCCGAUUGCGAAGGCAGCAUACCGGUGCACAACUGACGCUCAGGCACGAAAGCGUGGGUAUCGAACAGGAUUAGAUACCCCUGUAGUC